Molecule: ribosomal RNA, 742 nt
Filed under: uncultured bacterium
Lineage: Bacteria
Description: bacterial SSU rRNA
Rfam family: Bacterial small subunit ribosomal RNA
Source: RNAcentral
AGAGUUUGAUCAUGGCUCAGAACGAACGCUGGCGGCAGGCUUAACACAUGCAAGUCGAACGCACCUUUCGGGGUGAGUGGCAGACGGGUGAGUAACGCGUGGGAACGUGCCCUUCAGUUCGGAAUAACCCAGGGAAACUUGGGCUAAUACCGGAUACGUGCGAGAGCAGAAAGAUUUAUCGCUGAAGGAUCGGCCCGCGUCUGAUUAGCUAGUUGGUGAGGUAAUGGCUCACCAAGGCGACGAUCAGUAGCUGGUCUGAGAGGAUGAUCAGCCACAUUGGGACUGAGACACGGCCCAAACUCCUACGGGAGGCAGCAGUGGGGAAUAUUGGACAAUGGGCGCAAGCCUGAUCCAGCCAUGCCGCGUGAGUGAUGAAGGCCUUAGGGUUGUAAAGCUCUUUCGGCGGGGACGAUAAUAACGGUACCCGCAGAAGAAGCCCCGGCUAACUUCGUGCCAGCAGCCGCGGUAAUACGAAGGGGGCUAGCGUUGUUCGGAAUCACUGGGCGUAAAGGGCGCGUAGGCGGCUUUAUAAGUCGGGGGUGAAAGCCUGUGGCUCAACCACAGAAUUGCCUUCGAUACUGUAUGGCUUGAGACCGGAAGAGGUAAGUGGAACUGCGAGUGUAGAGGUGAAAUUCGUAGAUAUUCGCAAGAACACCAGUGGCGAAGGCGGCUUACUGGUCCGGUUCUGACGCUGAGGCGCGAAAGCGUGGGGAGCAAACAGGAUUAGAUACCCUAGUAGUCC